CAGAAAAGGAAGGAAUGGCUGCUUUUGACUACACCUGAGGGAGAAAGGUACCGCCAGGCUGAAAGGGCAGCCCGGCACCAGAAGAUACGGCGGUACCUGUCAGAAAAGCUGUCCAAUGUCAAGAGAAAUCACUACAAAGGCUCAUCCCUUUGCUGCCUGUCCUCCCCCGAUGCGUGGUCCCACCACGGACUGCCCAUGCUGCUGCAGGUCUGCCAUCGCUUGCACCCCAUGUUGUAGCCUUUUUACCCUUUUUUCAUAUUAAUUUAGCUUCAUUUAUAUAUUGCCAAUACUAUUGAAAUGGAACAAAUGUACUAUCGCAGCCAAUAUGAGCUGAAACGCCACUGCAAGUGGCACGCGAUGAGAGUUGUCUCUCAGAUUGUUCAGCAAACCUUGGUAUGCGUUGAGGUAGAAACAAAUCACUUCUUGUGCUCGUUGCACCACUAUGCCGUUCCGUGUCAAUUUUCAGCUCAUAGUGGCACAAUGAGUGCAAGAAGCAACCUGCCUAAACCUCAGCAAACACAGAGGUUCACUGAAAAUCUGACAGGUGGC
This is a long non-coding RNA of Ixodes scapularis (black-legged tick), 549 nucleotides long. RefSeq lists it as uncharacterized. The record is from RefSeq and is a predicted model, not a curated record. The transcript has 3 exons. NCBI's taxonomy places the organism in Eukaryota, Metazoa, Arthropoda, Arachnida, Ixodida, Ixodidae.